This 490-nucleotide ribosomal RNA is filed under the name uncultured bacterium. RNAcentral describes it as "partial 16S ribosomal RNA". It matches the Rfam family "Bacterial small subunit ribosomal RNA", at positions 30 to 507 of the family's 1533-position model. The record is from RNAcentral.
AUUGAACGCUGGCGGCAGGCCUAACACAUGCAAGUCGAAUGGUAACAGGAAACAGCUUGCUGUUUCGCUGACGAGUGGCGGACGGGUGAGUAAUGUCUGGGAAACUGCCUGAUGGAGGGGGAUAACUACUGGAAACGGUAGCUAAUACCGCAUAACGUCGCAAGACCAAAGAGGGGGACCUUCGGGCCUCUUGCCAUCAGAUGUGCCCAGAUGGGAUUAGCUAAUAGGUGGGGUAACGGCUCACCUAGGCGACGAUCCCUAGCUGGUCUGAGAGGAUGACCAGCCACACUGGAACUGAGACACGGUCCAGACUCCUACGGGAGGCAGCAGUGGGGAAUAUUGCACAAUGGGCGCAAGCCUGAUGCAGCCAUGCCGCGUGUAUGAAGAAGGCCUUCGGGUUGUAAAGUACUUUCAGCGGGGAGGAAGGGAGUAAAGUUAAUACCUUUGCUCAUUGACGUUACCCGCAGAAGAAGCACCGGCUAACUCCGUG